Molecule: ribosomal RNA, 447 nt
Filed under: Aeribacillus sp. A07M346
Lineage: Bacteria; Bacillati; Bacillota; Bacilli; Caryophanales; Bacillaceae
Also listed under: 578 other names
Description: bacterial SSU rRNA
Rfam family: Bacterial small subunit ribosomal RNA
Source: RNAcentral
GCGGCGGACGGGUGAGUAACACGUGGGCAACCUGCCCUGCAGACUGGGAUAACUUCGGGAAACCGGAGCUAAUACCGGAUAACACCGAAAACCGCAUGGUUUUCGGUUGAAAGGCGGCUUUUAGCUGUCACUGCAGGAUGGGCCCGCGGCGCAUUAGCUAGUUGGUGAGGUAACGGCUCACCAAGGCGACGAUGCGUAGCCGACCUGAGAGGGUGACCGGCCACACUGGGACUGAGACACGGCCCAGACUCCUACGGGAGGCAGCAGUAGGGAAUCUUCCGCAAUGGACGAAAGUCUGACGGAGCAACGCCGCGUGAGCGAAGAAGGUCUUCGGAUCGUAAAGCUCUGUUGUCAGGGAAGAACAAGUGCCGUUCGAACAGGGCGGUACCUUGACGGUACCUGACGAGGAAGCCACGGCUAACUACGUGCCAGCAGCCGCGGUAAUAC